GAAAUUGAAAAAAAAAAUGUUAUAGAGUGAGAUUAAGGACUAUGUUUCGAUCCUUUCUAGUUUCCACUUGUGUUUGAGUCCUUCAUGAAAGUUGUAAGUUUACUUCUUAGCUUUCCAACCCAUCCUCUUGUGUCCAAUUUGAAUAUGUAUAGCUCAACUUAUGGCUAAAACACCCAAACUGUCUCUGUUAUGACGGGCUACAUGCAUCACUGAAUUGAGUGCCCUUUUUGACCACUAUAAUGAUAAGAUUAUGUUCUGAGUUCUUCAUGAGAGUUGUUGCCCUGUGUCUUGAGACUUCUCUGGUUUUGGAUUGGUGUGAUUUGAGUGUCUGGAUAAGUAG
This 340-nucleotide long non-coding RNA is filed under the name Jatropha curcas. Its description in RNAcentral is "long non-coding RNA (JCUR_LNC002820)". The record is from RNAcentral. Lineage: Eukaryota; Viridiplantae; Streptophyta; Magnoliopsida; Malpighiales; Euphorbiaceae.